RNAcentral lists this transfer RNA (75 nucleotides) under Shigella sp. RNAcentral's name for it is "tRNA-Gly". It matches the Rfam family "tRNA". Rfam says of the family: Transfer RNA (tRNA) molecules are approximately 80 nucleotides in length. The record is from RNAcentral. Lineage: Bacteria; Pseudomonadati; Pseudomonadota; Gammaproteobacteria; Enterobacterales; Enterobacteriaceae.
GCGGGCAUCGUAUAAUGGCUAUUACCUCAGCCUUCCAAGCUGAUGAUGCGGGUGCGAUUCCCGCUGCCCGCUCCA